UAAAAACAUCAACUCAAAAAGUUUAAAGUGAAAUUAUUAAAAUACCCUUAUUAUUUAUCUAAAUAUUUUGUUUUUCUUUUUUACAAGAAAAAGUCCACCAAAUUAUUAAAACCUACUACAUUCACUUAUUUAGAAGAGAGCCCUUGCUUCUAUGCAACUCUUCCUAAUGGUUGUGAAAACAUUAACUGACGCUACUAAGAGAAACAAAGAAGCAAAAAAUAUGUGUUCCGCAUACUACUACUAUGACUCAUUUAUUUUGGUCAUAUUUCUCCAUUAAGGUAUAUUUAGUCCCUUUUUGUUUUUCUGAUAUCUAAUUUUCAUGACAAGCAUAUCGAUUCAACUGUCUUUGUUGGAAGACCCUUUGUUGAAGCUUAUAGAUCUGUCUAUGAUGCUUCUUAUGAAAGUGUGAAGUUAUAUCACAAUAUAUGAUUGCGUAAUAGUGUUAGUUAAGUUCAAGGCUUCAAGAUUUUAUUAGUGCCCUUUUUUAACCAAAAAAAAUAUUAUGAUUUUAAAGUUUGAAAGGGUUUUUAUUAUUAAAGUGACAAAAGAUGAAAAUUUUGUUUCAAAAAAGGAUUUAUUUUUAACUAAAUUCAGAGUCGCUACUAGACAUAAAUCAGGUGUGCCAAGUCACCUUUGGAAAAUCUUUUUCAAAACGAUUUGACUCUUUAAAACUGGUUUGCGAACAGAGAUUUCGGUUAAGGAAUUCUAUUGACCGAGGGAAAGGUGUUAGGCACUCCUCGAUCCCGUGGUUCGACCACGGUCGCUUGGUGAAGUAUAUCGGCUAAUUUGACACUACAAAUGUAUAAACCACACAAAAGCACGCAAAACAAUCAAUCAAGCAAACAAAACGAAACAAUCCAAAAUUUAGUGUCCAGUUCAAUUAUACAGUCCGAAAUAGAAAAAUGCAAAAAAUAUAAAACCUAUUCUAAAGUAAUCCUAAACUAAGCUCCAAUGCUUUACCCGAUGCCUCGGGCCUCGAUCACGAACCUCCGAGUACAUAAUACGGCGGGGCAUUCCCCGGUUAAUAGGUACAAUGUGACCUCGGGGCAUUCCCCGGUGAAUGAAUACAUUUUCAAAUCUUGUACGAUAAAGUAAAAGACUAUUCACACGCACACUCACACAUUCAACCAAACACCAUUCCUAAAUUUUGCCUACCCGAACCUAAAUUUUUGCCUAUCAUAUCACAACUCUAUCACACUCAAUAUCAUCAAUGCAUCAAAUAAUGAAUAUUCAUUUUUUAUCAAUCCCCAAUGUUCGAUCCCAAAUCAAUGAUUAACUUAAAUCUUCAACUACCAAUUCAAUUUUCAACUUGGAAUCCAACAUCAACCAACAUGCAAUUCAAGUGAUUAACCAACAUCCGUGAUCCAAACAACAUCAAAUCAAAUAGAGCAAGAUUCACACAAUAUUAAUUUGCCACACAAAAAUAUCAAAAUUUAAAAAUUACUCAAGAAAAGGGAUUAGAAAUGGACCUCAACGUCACUUUUCAAUCACGUAUUAUUCAAUUAGACGAGACGAGUCCACACAGGAAACCUCAAUGUUGAGACUUCAAUUCCAAACUCGCAAUAAUCCCAAAUCCACAAACCGAUUAACUCGGACGAGAAUCGAACAAUGACUGAAAAAACAUCUGAACGACCUUAAUAGAGAAAAACCCACAAUUGCUUAACCCAGCUGAAUUUCAUCGGAAUUGAAAUAAAACGUUAAGGAUCGGAGCUAUAGCAAAUUUCAGGUGGACUAUCAUCGAAUUUGACAAACAGGGAUUGGACUUGGCGGAUUUUUGCUGAUUUCGAUCGAACAUUAGGAGCGGGUGUCGAAUUUGGAGAUUUCUCGACGAUUUUGGCCCGGAAUGAAAUUGGUGAUACUAUUUUCCAGCGGAUUUCUCUAGAACAGUAGUCAAACAGUGAUCGUCGGAGUUCUUAGCAAUGGUUUCGUCAGAUUUUCGAUGAGAAUAUCUCUCUCUCGCUCGAUUUUAGGUCCCACUCCCUUGAUACCCUCACUUCCAUCUCUGAUUUUGACAAUUUCACACACGAUUUUGCUCAUUCACUCUCAUUGAUCUCUCACUCUUGAUCUUCUCCCUCUUACACUAUUUUUCUCUCUAUCUUCCUCGAUUCUGUGUAUGUGAGUGUGUAGUGUGUAAAGAAUUCAUGUUGUUGUGAUGUAUUAAUGGUGUUGUUGUUUAAAAAAAAUGGAAGCUGAUAGAGUAGUGGUGUGUGCAGGUAUGGUUGUGCGUAUAUUGGUCGAAUGAAAAAAAUAAAGAAAAAAAAUGGAUGAGUGGUGUCUUCUAUGGUAUCGAUGUUGUGAAGAAAAAAUGGACCCCUUCUAUGCGUGCAGUUCCCCUCUCAUUUCUUUUGUGUGUUUACCCUCUAGAUCAAAAUGGGGGAUGAUCUGUGUGUGUUUGUGUGAGGUCCCCAUGGAAUUGUGUGUGUUCCCUCCUUAUAUUGUGAUUGUGAUUGUAUAUAAAUGAAAAUUAAGCCUCUUUUCUGUAGUGGAAUCUCGUGGGACCCUUUUUCUUUUUUUUCGUUAAAAUAAAUAAAAAAUAUGAGGGAGGAGGCUGCUUAGAGGUGAGUUGGGGUAAGGGGUGUAGUAGUGGUUAGGAUGAGAUAAAAUUAGUUAGAGUUAUUUUUGUUGUAAUUUUGUUAUUUUGUUUCCUUGUGGGGAAAGUGUAGAAUAGGUGAGGGUGUAUGAUAAGGAGAGACAAAAAUGAAUAAAAUAGAUUUUAGAAGGGACAAAGUUAGGUAUCUACAUCAUGCCCCUUUUUGGGUGUAAACACAAAGUGUUUUCAGACAAAAAGGUAGCUAACGAGACCAAAUUUUGACCCGACUAUUAUCAAGGAAAGAAAUAGAAGAAAGAAGGACAACCGAGUUGGAGAGUCGAGUGAGGUCCUGUCAAGGUUCCGGUCCGCGACUCUGUCAUUACAUUAAAAAUGAAAAUUAAAAGUUAAAACAUAAAUGAAAUUACAAAAAUCCUAUCUAUGUUGCUUCUUUUGGACUCUUGACUUGAGUUUCAUCACCCUAUUCUUCAGGCGGGCUCCUGACUUACAAUUUCUCCAACUUGUUGCUUGGCUUUCAGUUUCUUCACCCUAUUCUCCAGGCAGGCUCCUGACUCGCUAUUUUUCAAUCUGCUAACCUUUAAUUUCUUCACAUUGUUGUCUGACUUUCAACUUCUUCACCCUGUUCUCCAGGCGGGCUCCUGACUUGCUAUUUCUCAACUUGUUGACUUUCAAUUCCUUAACCUUGUUUCUUGACUUUCAAUUUCAUCACCCUAUUCUUCAGGUGGGCUCCUGACUUGUUAUUUCAUUACCCUGUUCUUCAUGCGGGCUCCUGACUUUCAAUUCCAUUAUCUUUAGCUUGAUUUUCAAUUUCUUCACCCUGCUCUCUAGGCGGACUCUUGACUUGCUAUUUUUCAAUCUAUUGACUUUUAAUUUCUUUACCUUGUUGCCUAACUUUCAACUUCUUCACCCUGUUCACCAGGCGGGCUCCUGGCUUGCUAUUUUUCAACUUGUUGACUUUCAAUUUCUUAACCUUGUUGCUUGACUUUAAAUUUCAUCCCCCUGUUCUUCAAGUGGGCUCCUAACUUGUUAUUUCAUCACUAUGUUCUUCAGGCGGGCUCCUGACUUUCAAUUUCAUCACCCUGUUUUCAGACGGGCUCUUGACUUUCAAUUUCAUCACCUUGUUCUUCAAGCAGGCUCCUGAAAUCACAUCAAAACUAAAAAUAAAAUUAUUCCAAGCAAAGAUUAUUAUAAAGAGAUUCCAUUUGCCAGAAAAGUAAAGUUCCAAACAACAGGAAUUAAAUUUUUUGCCCUAGUUGAUCAUAGGAGGACUUUUGUGAAAGUCACAUCAUAACUACUUGCAUGUUGCAAUGAUGAAUCAAGACUCUGACCAAUAAAUGCAUCUACAAUGAUGAAUCAAGACUCUGACCAACAAAUGCAUCUCUUGAGAGUAAAAUUAAAUUACCAAGACUAGGAAGUACGUUUCCUAAAUAUUAAGUCGGGAAUUCUGACUAGAAAGUGCAUCUUCUAGUGAUAAAAGUUUUAAGUUUAAAUAUGUGCCAUCUGAUAAAUAAAAACUAACAAGGAAGUGCAUCUACUAAGGGUUAAGUGCAAUGACUCGACUUGAAAGUGUAUUUUCUAGGAAUUAAGGGGAAUGACUCGACCAGGAAGUACAUCUUCUAGGAAUCAAGAGGGAUGACUCGACUAGGAAGUACAUCUUCUAGGAAUCAAGAGGGAUAACUCGACCAGGAAGUACAUCUUCUAGGAAUCAUAGGGACUGACUCAACCAGGACGUAAAUCUUCUAGGAAUCAAGGGGAAUGACUCGACUAGGAAGUACAUCUUCUAGAAAUCAAGACUUAAGUUAGAAAGUGCAUCACCUAACAAGUAAAUUUUGAAUUACCCAACCAAGGAAGUGUGUUUCCCUACCAAUGCCGCUUGAAUUACCAAAACAAAGAAGUGCGUCUCCUUACCAAUGUCACUUGAAUUACCAAAAUAAGGAAGUGCGUCUCCUUACAAAUGUCUCUUGAAUUACCAAAACAAGGAAAUGCGUCUCCUUACAAAUGCCUCUUGAAUUACACAAAUAUGGAAGUGCAUCUUCUUACAAAUGUUACUUGAAUUACCCAAAAAAGGAAGUGCGUCUCCUAACAAAUGUCGCUUAAAUUACCCAAACAAGAAAGUCUGUCUCCUUACAAAUAUCGCUUAAAUUAACAAAACAAGGAAAUGCGUCUCCUUACAAAUGUCUUUUAAAUAACUCAGCCAAGGAAAUGUUCUCCUAAGGGUUAGCUAGAAGGACUCAACUAGAAAGUACGACUUCUGGGAGUGAAGGUUCAAUUUAGGAAGUGCGUCACCUAAUAAAUGAAACCUGAAUUACUCAGAUAAAGAGGUACAUCUCUUAGGGGUUGCAUGGAAGGACUCGACCAGAAAGUGCAUCUUCUAGGAGUAAAGGCUUAGGUUUGGAAGUAUGUCACCUAGCAAGCCAAAACUUAAACUACCCUAACAAGAAAGUGUGUCUCCUAAGGGUUAAGUGGAAGGACUCAACGAAAAAGUGCGACUUCAAGGAUUGAAGGUUCAAUUUAGGAAGUGCAUCACCUAAUAAAUGAACCUGAAUUACCCAGACAACGAAGAAAGUCUUCUAGAAAUAUUGUAUUAUGAGUUCUACCAUGGUUUUGAUCACCAAAUUUGUGCAGCAACAUUGCCUCUUGCAUUUGUAGAAGUGAGAAAUUACGGCCUUUGUUGUUUAGGCUCUGAAAUCCUUGAUCUGAAUGUAACAUGUGUUCCUGUUUCAUACAAAGAAAACUUGUGAGUUUAAAAACAUGGUGGCUGGUUUGUGGGUUUAGCUUUCGCGGUAAUCUCCCUUGCCCUCGUCACAUUUAAUCUCGCUUCCAACCAUUAACAUAUAUCAUUGACUUGCUGUAUUAUUGACCCAAGCUCAGGUUAUUAAGAGUGACUCUGAAACAAAUAUAGUAUCUCUGCUUUGUCUUGCUUCUCAGAUAAACCCUUUGAACCUUGAUAUUUUCAUGAAUUUCCAAACUUGUCUAUUGACAAAACUUUUUGCAUGUCUUAUUUUGGCUCACAAUAAUGUAUCUUUCAUAUGUUGACGUUUUGUCUUGCUUUAUGUAAUUGAAGAAGCUGGUAGCCAGUUUUAAAAUCUUCUCACUUAUUUUGAAUGGACUUGACUCAAAGACAAAAGAAAAAUGACAAUGAUUUUUAUUUGGACAACUGACUCAAGAAAAUAAAAUAAAAACAUAAAGAAUAAAGAAAAUACAAUAAAUAUCCCCAUUUGAAAUAAAAAAAUAAAAAAUUUAUCUAAAAACGACAAUCAACUAUAAUGAUAUGCCAUGCAUUUUGGAUUAAGCUGCUUAAUCUUUCCAUCCAAACUUUCUACCAAUUGUUGUUGAGUUAAUGUCCAUGAAACUGAGUUGUUUCCUUAGGUCAAUUGCAUUUAAGACCUCAUUCGGCUAGUGACGCCUUGAAGGAUUUUUGCCAACAAGCCUCUCUCAUUUUCUUUGAGCUCGCCAUCGCCUCAUGGUGCCUGUGAGGGUUUUCACCAAUAAGACUCUCUCAUUUUUAUAUCUCUCAACUUACCAUCAUCUCAUGGUGCCCGUAAGGGUUUUCACUAAUAAGACUCUCUCAUUCUUAUUUCUCUCCUAAUUUUUAAUGCUGAGGAAGACAAAUAGUGCCCAAAAUGCGUGAUCAUAUCAAUUGCGUACGUAGCCUUAACAUUCUCAAAGAUUGAUCCAAAGGUUUUUAUUUGGUUGUAACUUGGAUUUUGGAUAGGACCAGAAAGAAAGAAUGGCAUGAGGCCCAAACGACACUUGAAGUGGGGUAGGACUUACAACUUUUGGAAUCGACUCAAAGAAUGAGGAUUAACUCAUGACCCACUUUCUUUUGAUUAGAAAAUUCUAAAUUUUUUAUUUGGUUGGACCGAGCCUCGAGUAGGGCAGCCUACGUAUCUUACCCCCAAGAAAGGAGAAUCAGGUCGCACAUAGUUCCGGCAGUUUGUUAUUUUGCUUGAUUUUGAUUUCUUCUUUUAUUUUUUUCUUUUAUUGACUCUUUUUUUCCUUUUUUUCUUUGAAACUUUUUCUGGCUUUAUUUUUCUUGACACUCUUCUUUUUCUUUCUUUUUGACACAUUUCUUUUCUGACUCUUUUAAUUUUUUGGCACUUUUCUUUUGAGUUUUGCUGACUCUAUCUUGAUUCCAAAAGAGGUGUAUGAAAUAAAAUAAAACUAAGGCUCAAAUGGGGUAAACAAAGGAUGACACAAUGUUUGGAUAGCAGAAUAAAAUGUCUUCGUCAUAUCAAUCCUUGAAAAUGCAAGUACAUGGCAUGCAAUAUGAAAGUGGAAGAUAAAGAUCAUUUGUGACACUUUAUCAACACUAAUUUUAACUGAGUAUGUGCGUCGCUACUUUUUCUGCGUUUGUCAAACAUAAAACUCCACUUUUGUUGUACAUCCCUCACAUUGAAUGACUCAUACUUUCGUGGAAUUGAUUUUCUUUCUGUUCCUCUUGAUAUAGGAUCACACAUUUAUUAUUUGACCUAAUUGAGACAUGUCUUUCAAUUGAUGACCAAGUUAUUAUGGUGAUUCUAAAAAUAAUUGCCUUAGUUUUCAAAGAAGACUUCAACUUGUCACCAAAUGUCUCAACACUCUACCUAUUUGCUUAGAUGCUCUCUUUCCUAACUUUAACCCUCUGAUUUAAUGUUUCAUGGUUGAAUUGGAUUCUAAGAUCUGACUGAGAAUUUCACAGGCAUGUAUAUCACUAGAAUUAACACAAAAUAUACUGUAUAAAGAAAACAAACAAACAACACAUAUUUAAAACACAAAGGGAAAGGGACACUUUAUUUAGUUGAAAUAAAAGAUAGAAGGGUUUGAACAUAAAAUACAAAGGGACAAAACAAGAUAGAUCCCAAACUACAAUCCUAAAAUAAUUCGAAUAACAGAAAAAAAAAAGAAAACAGACUACCAAACAUCCAUCGUAAAAGGGAGAGAAGUGACUUCCCAAUUGCUGAGCUUUAUAUCUUUGCCACUGGUUUGCAUAUCAACAUGACUAGAGCUUUCCUUUCUGCACCACAAUUAAUCCAUCUUGAAUCAUCUUUUCAAAUUCUCUUUUCAAAUCUCAACAAUCUUCAAUACUAUGACCCUGAACACCAGAAUGAUAUGUGCAUCAUAAAUUAGGAUCAAAAUUUCUUGAAUGCUUAUUAAGACUGUUCCUAAGGAGAGAAGUGAUCAUGCCCCAUUGUACCAAUCUCUGAAAUAAGUUGGCAUAUGACUCUCCAAUUAGUGUGAAGCUAUCUCUCAACUUCUGUCUCAUUUCAUUGUUUGGCUUGGAUCGAAAAUCAGGCCUAGAAGGACUUUGGUAUGUUUAUGGAGUUAAAGGGUGACUCUGAGGAGUUGGUGUGUUCCACUGUGGGUAACAAAAGAGUUAAACAUAUGGCUGCAUGCAGUACACUAGAUAUGGAGGUGGGUAAAUAGAGUAUAAUGGAUUUGGGUAGGGAUUAUAGAGAGUUUGGGUAUGAAUUUAGGCUUGAGACUGACGGUGACGACGACAUAGUCUUCUUGGUUAUGCUCGUUCUCCAACUACUAUAGCAGCUGUAUCUUUCUCAUUCUUUCUCCCUCCAGUUUUGCUUACUUGAUUGCAAUAUUAUCCUAAAUGUUUCACGAAUUCCUCAUGUUCAUCUUGCUCCUCAAGUUUCAACAUCCCAAGGAUUGAAUGAAGGUUAACACUCGAAGACAUGUUCCAGUCUUUGUAUGUAACAUCUUAUUUACCCACAGGUCCUAGGGAAAUUUUCCUAGUAUUUUUUGCACUCUUCAUUUUUCCAACCAUUUUCUCUGGAUCUUCUAGCAAGCUAGACUUCUGGUUAAAAAAUUUUGGUCGUCCAAUUAACAUUGAUGUGGGCUCGGGAGUAUAGCAAUGAUCAUUAAGAGUAUUGAACAUGAGUCCACUAGCAGCAUGGGAAGGCACAACUAUUGGGAGGCUAGCCAAUGUGGAUGUCUCAGCAAAGGAUAGAGCAACAAAAUCACAAACAGUAUGUGGUGCUAUGAAUGUGGUAGGCCUAUACUGAGGAACUAAAGAAAGAGUGGUAGAAGCAUUGGAAUGCUUUUGGUUUGGAACGAAUUUUGAGUCAUGUUGCAGUGCAUCAACAUUAGAAAAUGGAGCUUGCAAUUGUUAAGGAAAACUCAGGAUAUUUGCGGGGUCAAUAGUAGGGAAUGGAGGAGGAGGCAACCCACUAGCACAAGCUCGAUAUAUUUCCAACAUUUUUUGUCUUAAUCUUAAAUUCUCUUCCUUUAAACUCUCAUUUUUCUGACUCUUUGUUUGAUCCAUGAUGUCACUCUCUACAUCCUUGUUGGACACAAUUAACCUUUUCUUGGAUUUGGUGUGAUGUGGAAGACCAGCUAUAAUGUCACAAUGCCAAAAACCAACCACCUUAAACUAACUGGACAAGAGAUAGCAAAUACGGUAGAGUUCAACACUUUCUCAAAACCUUUCUCUUUUCUUGUUUCCUUUUUCUUUGAAAAGAUCACCGAACCCAACAAGGGUGCCUACGUAUCUCACUCCUGAAAGAAGAGAAUCAAGUAUGCGUAGUUCGUGAAGUUUGACCACAAAAGGGCUAAUAAAACUCUCUUGUGUUCUUCUUUUUAUUUUUCUUGAAAUUUAAGAAUAAAAGAAAAUGACAAAUUUUCAAAAGAAUUGACGAAAAUCUUUUUGAUUUUUUCGGCUUUAACAUCCCUAUACAAAAUAAAACCAAUGGUUACCAAAGAAGAAUCUUUUUGGGUUUUUGAUUUCAAAUUUCAUACGAAAAUGAAAUUUGAACCUAUUAAAGGAAAAUCUUUUUGUAGUUUUCUUUUAAAGAUGUAUAUGAAACACCUACUCUAAAUGAAGAGUGAAAAAAAUCUUUUUAAAUUUUUUUAAAUAAGAUCAACCAAAAAUGAAACCUACAACUAUUAAGAAAAAUCUUUUUGUAUUUUUCUUUUCAAGGCAUAUAUGAAACGCCUACUCCAAAUGAAGAGUGAAGAAGAUUUUUUUUCGAAUUCUUUUAAAUAAGAUCUCUGGUCCCACAAUAGGCUGUCUACGUAUCUCACUCCCGAAAAAGGAGAAUCAAGGGUGUGUAGUUCAUCCAAAUUGGACUAUUUAUGAUUAAAUAACGAACUGAACCCUGACUUGAGAGACACGACCACAGACAGACGAUGAAAAAUGCCGAUAAAAUCUUUUUUGGGAUUUUUUAAUUUGACACUUCACAUGACACCAACUAUGACAGAAAAUCUUUUUGGUAUUUUCAGUACAUGAAUUGUACAAAACUUCUACCAUAUUUUUUUGAAUUUUCCUUUUAUAAGAAGCUCUUAUUGAUUUUUUUUUCGAAUUAUGGAUGCUUACUAAAGAAACAAAGAAAAUUCUUUUUGUUGUUUUUGUUUUUGACAAAAUGAGUGAAAAAGGUAAAAAAAAACUUUUUGAAUUUUUGAAUUGUGAAAAACAAAAGCCAUAAAGAACACUAAAAGUUACGAAACUCUUUUUCGACUCACUUUUUAUUUUUUUUUUCUAUUUUUUCAUGCCUACACACCUUUCUUUAAUUCUAGCACAUGCUUUCCCCAAAUCAGUCCGUCAAAUGACCCUGUUACCCUCAAAGAAGCAAUAUUUAGCAUGCAGGGAUGCUUUAGAGGUGAGUCUCCUACAAAUGUCCACAUGGGUCCCGCUAGGUCUUAAUAUGAUGCAGGUAAAGCAUGACCUAAAGGCUGACCUACGCUAGGGUUCACUAACAAGGCUAUUCGGGGGAGCGUAUGGUCGAUAGUGGCUGCAAAAGCUUUCCACCCACUCCAUACUUCCGACGGCUCCCCAUCCUAAAAUAAGGGUGACGCAACUAGAGUUCGUGUACACGACGUGCACUCCGGAACUUGUUGUAGAAAGAAUUGACUUGGGUUAUGCAAAUGAUGUCAGAUAUAAAGCGGUAACACAUAAAGGAAAACCGUAAACAAAGAGCACGUAGACACUCAACAAUGAUAAAAUAAAUACAAACGGUAACACAAACAAUGUCUAUACACCCAUAAUGCCAAAAUAAGACGAUACAACUCCAAAAAAUAAGCUCGAAUUCUGAAAAAGCCUCAAGUGAUCGCCAGAGCUAUCACACCCCUUUUUUUAAACCAAAAACAGAUUAUGAUUUUAGAGUUUGAAAGGAUUUUUAUUAUUAAAGUGACAAAACAUGAAAAUUUUAUUUCGAAAAAGGAUUCAUUUUUAACUAAAUUCAAAGUCGCCACUUAACAUAAAUUGGGCAUGCCAAGUCACCUUUGGAAAAUCCUUUUCAAAAUGAUUUGACUCUUUAAAACUGGUUUGCGAACAGAGAUUUCGGUUAAGGAAUUCUGUUGACCAAGGGAAAGGUGUUAGGCACUCCUCGAUCCCGUGGUUCGACCACGGUCGCUUGGUGAAGUAUAUCGGCUAAUUUGCCACUUUGAAUGUAUAAACCACACAAAAGCACGCAAAACAAUCAAUCAAGCAAACAAAACGAAACAAUCCAAAAUUUAGUGUCUAGUCUAAUUAUAAGUCCGAAAUAGAAAAGUGCAAAAAAUAUAAAACCUAUUCUAAACUAGUCCUAGACUAAGCUCCAAUGCUUU
RNAcentral lists this long non-coding RNA (11083 nucleotides) under Capsicum annuum. RNAcentral's name for it is "long non-coding RNA (CANN_LNC017849)". The record is from RNAcentral. Lineage: Eukaryota; Viridiplantae; Streptophyta; Magnoliopsida; Solanales; Solanaceae.